AAGGGUAGAGCUCAGUGGUUGAGUGUGUGCCUAGCAAGCACGAAUUCCUGGGUUCAAUCCCCAGUACCUCCA
Molecule: transfer RNA, 72 nt
Filed under: Camelus bactrianus (Bactrian camel)
Lineage: Eukaryota; Metazoa; Chordata; Mammalia; Artiodactyla; Camelidae
Also listed under: 2 other names
Rfam family: tRNA
About the family: Transfer RNA (tRNA) molecules are approximately 80 nucleotides in length. Their secondary structure includes four short double-helical elements and three loops (D, anti-codon, and T loops).
Source: Rfam by way of RNAcentral